CAAAAUCAAUAGCCACUACCCACAACCCACAAACCUAUCAGGCCUACUAUCCAACAACACUGGCUAAUAUUUUUAGGUUGGGGCGACCUUGGAGAAAAACAAACCCUCCAAAAAUAAGGCCAAAUCCCUUAACCAAGAGCAACCCCUCAACGUACUAACAGUACCCAGACCCAAUAAAAUUGACCAAUGAACCAAGCUACCCCAGGGAUAACAGCGCAAUCUCCUCCAAGAGCCCCUAUCGACGAGGAGGUUUACGACCUCGAUGUUGGAUCAGGACAUCCUAGUGGUGCAGCCGCUACUAAGGGUUCGUUGUCACGAUAAUGU
RNAcentral lists this ribosomal RNA (324 nucleotides) under Polytelis alexandrae. RNAcentral's name for it is "partial large subunit ribosomal RNA". It matches the Rfam family "Bacterial large subunit ribosomal RNA", at positions 2102 to 2594 of the family's 2925-position model. The record is from RNAcentral. Lineage: Eukaryota; Metazoa; Chordata; Aves; Psittaciformes; Psittacidae.